AUUGAACGCUGGCGGCAUGCCUUACACGAUGCAAGUCGAACGGCAGCACGGGAGCAAUCCUGGUGGCGAGUGGCGAACGGGUGAGUAAUAUAUCGGAACGUGCCCAGUCGUGGGGGAUAACGUAGCGAAAGCUACGCUAAUACCGCAUACGAUCUAUGGAUGAAAGCGGGGGAUCGCAAGACCUCGCGCGAUUGGAGCGGCCGAUAUCAGAUUAGGUAGUUGGUGAGGUAAAGGCUCACCAAGCCGACGAUCUGUAGCUGGUCUGAGAGGACGACCAGCCACACUGGGACUGAGACACGGCCCAGACUCCUACGGGAGGCAGCAGUGGGGGAAUUUUGGACAAUGGGCGCAAGCCUGAUCCAGCAAUG
RNAcentral lists this ribosomal RNA (368 nucleotides) under uncultured bacterium. Its description in RNAcentral is "bacterial SSU rRNA". It matches the Rfam family "Bacterial small subunit ribosomal RNA", at positions 30 to 396 of the family's 1533-position model. The record is from RNAcentral.